AACGAACGCUGGCGGCAUGCCUAACACAUGCAAGUCGAACGAGACCUUCGGGUCUAGUGGCGCACGGGUGCGUAACGCGUGGGAAUCUGCCCUUUGCUUCGGAAUAACAGUUAGAAAUGACUGCUAAUACCGGAUGAUGUCUUCGGACCAAAGAUUUAUCGGCAAAGGAUGAGCCCGCGUAGGAUUAGGUAGUUGGUGGGUAAAGGCCUACCAAGCCGACGAUCCUUAGCUGGUCUGAGAGGAUGAUCAGCCACACUGGGACUGAGACACGGCCCAGACUCCUACGGGAGGCAGCAGUGGGGAAUAUUGGACAAUGGGCGCAAGCCUGAUCCAGCAAUGCCGCGUGAGUGAUGAAGGCCUCGGGUCGUAAAGCUCUUUACCAGGGAUGAUAAUGACAGUACCUGGAGAAUAAGACUCCGGCUAACUCCGUGCCAGCAGCCGCGGUAAU
This 448-nucleotide ribosomal RNA is filed under the name uncultured bacterium. RNAcentral describes it as "bacterial SSU rRNA". It matches the Rfam family "Bacterial small subunit ribosomal RNA", at positions 29 to 524 of the family's 1533-position model. The record is from RNAcentral.